This 56-nucleotide small nuclear RNA is filed under the name Prolemur simus (greater bamboo lemur). The record is from RNAcentral. Lineage: Eukaryota; Metazoa; Chordata; Mammalia; Primates; Lemuridae.
GUGCUCGCUUUGGCAGCACAUAUACUAAAAUUGAAAUGAUAUAAAGAAGAUUAGCA